This 426-nucleotide ribosomal RNA is filed under the name uncultured bacterium. RNAcentral's name for it is "bacterial SSU rRNA". It matches the Rfam family "Bacterial small subunit ribosomal RNA", at positions 354 to 796 of the family's 1533-position model. The record is from RNAcentral.
GUGAGGAAUUUUCCGCAAUGGGCGAAAGCCUGACGGAGCAAUGCCGCGUGAAGGAUGAAGGCCUAUGGGUUGUAAACUUCUUUUCUCAGAAAAGAAUUAUGACGGUAUCUGAGGAAUAAGCAUCGGCUAACUCUGUGCCAGCAGCCGCGGUAAGACAGAGGAUGCAAGCGUUAUCCGGAAUGAUUGGGCGUAAAGCGUCUGUAGGUUGUUUAAAAAGUAUUCUGUCAAAGAUUAGGGCUUAAACCUAGAUAGGCAGAAUAAACUUUUAAGCUAGAGUUUGGUAGAGGCAGAGGGAAUUCCCGGUGGAGCGGUGAAAUGCGUAGAUAUCGGGAGGAACACCAAAGGCGAAGGCACUCUGCUGGGCCAAUACUAACACUGAGAGACGAAAGCGAGGGGAGCAAAUGGGAUUAGAAACCCUAGUAGUCC